AAUUUCCUGCUGUGUUCGACCACUCCGACAACUAACAGGUCCGGACCGUUGAUACGUUAUUGGGGGCUUUAGCUGAGCGGCGGCUGUCAGGCCUUCCUGGAAGGCAAAAGUCGUCCGGCGGCUCCCUCCCUGUUGAGAAACGGGAACGUGACCUAUCCUCGGAGCCGGCAUGAGCGGGUAACUA
This 184-nucleotide non-coding RNA is filed under the name Verrucomicrobiia bacterium. Its description in RNAcentral is "6S RNA". It matches the Rfam family "6S / SsrS RNA". From Rfam's summary of the family: E. coli 6S RNA was the first non coding RNA to be sequenced, but its function was unknown until recently. The record is from RNAcentral. Lineage: Bacteria; Pseudomonadati; Verrucomicrobiota; Verrucomicrobiia.